GAUUGUAGUCUGCAACUCGACUACAUGAAGUCGGAAUCGCUAGUAAUCGCAGGUCAGCAUACUGCGGUGAAUACGUUCCCGGGCCUUGUACACACCGCCCGUCACACCACGAAAGUUGACAACACCCGAAGCCGGUGAGCUAACUCGCAAGAGAGGCAGCCGUCGAAGGUGGGGUUGAUGAUUGGGGUGAAGUCGUAACAAGGUAGCCGUAUCGGAAGGUGCGGCUGGAUCACCUCCUUU
Molecule: ribosomal RNA, 240 nt
Filed under: Desulforamulus aquiferis
Lineage: Bacteria; Bacillati; Bacillota; Clostridia; Eubacteriales; Peptococcaceae
Description: partial 16S ribosomal RNA
Rfam family: Bacterial small subunit ribosomal RNA
Source: RNAcentral